UGACUUUAGGAAAUAAGCUCUAGCCAAGC
RNAcentral lists this non-coding RNA (29 nucleotides) under Homo sapiens (human). The record is from RNAcentral. Lineage: Eukaryota; Metazoa; Chordata; Mammalia; Primates; Hominidae.